Molecule: ribosomal RNA, 483 nt
Filed under: uncultured bacterium
Lineage: Bacteria
Description: partial 16S ribosomal RNA
Rfam family: Bacterial small subunit ribosomal RNA
Source: RNAcentral
AUUGAACGCUGGCGGCAUGCUUUACACAUGCAAGUCGAACGGCAGCGCGGGCUUCGGCCUGGCGGCGAGUGGCGAACGGGUGAGUAAUGCAUCGGAACGUGCCCAGUAGUGGGGGAUAGCCCGGCGAAAGCCGGAUUAAUACCGCAUACGACCUGAGGGUGAAAGCGGGGGACCGAAAGGCCUCGCGCUAUUGGAGCGGCCGAUGUCGGAUUAGCUAGUUGGUGGGGUAAAGGCUUACCAAGGCGACGAUCCGUAGCUGGUCUGAGAGGACGACCAGCCACACUGGGACUGAGACACGGCCCAGACUCCUACGGGAGGCAGCAGUGGGGAAUUUUGGACAAUGGGGGCAACCCUGAUCCAGCCAUGCCGCGUGCGGGAAGAAGGCCUUCGGGUGGUAAACCGCUUUUGUUCGGGAAGAAAUCCUCUGGGCUAAUACCCCGGGGGGAUGACGGUACCGGAAGAAUAAGCACCGGCUAACUACGU